UACGGAGGGGGCUAGCGUUUGUUUCGGAAUUCUGGGCGUAAAGCGCGCGGUGAGGCGGCUUUGUAAGUUAGAGGUGAAAAGCCCGGGAGCUCAACUCCGGAACUGCCUUUAAGACUGCAUCGCUUAGAAUUGUGGAGAGGUGAGUGGAAUUCCGAGUGUAGAGGUGAAAUUUCGUAGAUAUUCGGAAGAACACCAGUGGCGGUAAGGCGACUUUACUGGACACAUAUUGACGCUGAGGUGCGAAAGCGUGGGGAGCAAAGCAGGG
RNAcentral lists this ribosomal RNA (265 nucleotides) under uncultured bacterium. RNAcentral's name for it is "partial 16S ribosomal RNA". It matches the Rfam family "Bacterial small subunit ribosomal RNA", at positions 524 to 778 of the family's 1533-position model. The record is from RNAcentral.